AGUGAACGCUGGCGGUAGGCCUAACACAUGCAAGUCGAACGGCAGCACAGUAAGAGCUUGCUCUUACGGGUGGCGAGUGGCGGACGGGUGAGGAAUACAUCGGAAUCUACUUUUUCGUGGGGGAUAACGUAGGGAAACUUACGCUAAUACCGCAUACGACCUACGGGUGAAAGCAGGGGAUCUUCGGACCUUGCGCGAUUGAAUGAGCCGAUGUCGGAUUAGCUAGUUGGCGGGGUAAAGGCCCACCAAGGCGACGAUCCGUAGCUGGUCUGAGAGGAUGAUCAGCCACACUGGAACUGAGACACGGUCCAGACUCCUACGGGAGGCAGCAGUGGGGAAUAUUGGACAAUGGGCGAAAGCCUGAUCCAGCAAUACCGCGUGGGUGAAGAAGGCCUUCGGGUUGUAAAGCCCUUUUGUUGGGAAAGAAAAGCAGCAGGUUAAUACCCCGCUGUUCUGACGGUACCCAAAGAAUAAGCACCGGCUAACUUCGU
This 491-nucleotide ribosomal RNA is filed under the name uncultured bacterium. RNAcentral's name for it is "partial 16S ribosomal RNA". It matches the Rfam family "Bacterial small subunit ribosomal RNA", at positions 29 to 506 of the family's 1533-position model. The record is from RNAcentral.